This 253-nucleotide ribosomal RNA is filed under the name uncultured bacterium. Its description in RNAcentral is "partial 16S ribosomal RNA". It matches the Rfam family "Bacterial small subunit ribosomal RNA", at positions 524 to 776 of the family's 1533-position model. The record is from RNAcentral.
UACGGAGGGUGCAAGCGUUAUCCGGAUUCACUGGGUUUAAAGGGUGCGUAGGUGGGUCUGUAAGUCAGUGGUGAAAUCUUCGAGCUUAACUCGGAAACUGCCAUUGAUACUAUAGAUCUUGAAUUUUCUGGAGGUAAGCGGAAUAUGUCAUGUAGCGGUAAAAUGCUUAGAUAUGACAUAGAACACCCAUUGCGAAGGCAGCUCACUACGGGAAUAUUGACACUGAGGCACGAAAGCGUGGGGAUCAAACAGG